CAUUUCCCCAGUUUGCCAGAUCGCUAGUUUCUUAAACUUUUCGUCAGUAAUGUCAAACAAACAAACUGUCCAAACACUCGAUGGGAUUCACGCCAUUUACCGCCAAAAAGCCUUUUGGCCUGAAUUCACAUCCACAAAAUCACACCAGGAUGAAACCCAUCUGUAAAGCAGCUUUAAAAAGAUUGUACGCAAGCAAAAGAUGGCCAGAUUGAGACUUGUGAACUUCACCACUGGGUCCCUCCUUUAAAAUGUUACUCUGCUAAAGUACAUGUGAAUAAAGAAAUAAUUUCAAGACGACAUAACAGUGUCAAGGAAUGAGUGCUGCUCACGUGGGAGAAAAGAGUCCAAAAUGAGAAUCUAUUCAUUUGGGUAUUCACAAUACUAUUGUUCACUUUUAAAUAUAUAUAUAUAUUUUUUUUUUUUUUGCACAAUAUUUUUAUACGUAAUUGCUACAUAUAACAUAGUAAUGUAAUAAGUUGUACUUUCCUUACAGAUUCAGUGAGAUUCUUGCCAAUGUAUGUUUCAUGUCCCAUGUGUCAAUAUAGAUCUGCAAUCAGAAGACC
RNAcentral lists this long non-coding RNA (563 nucleotides) under Danio rerio (zebrafish). Its description in RNAcentral is "lncRNA si:dkeyp-86b9.5 (ENSDARG00000097931.2)". The record is from RNAcentral. Lineage: Eukaryota; Metazoa; Chordata; Actinopteri; Cypriniformes; Danionidae.